RNAcentral lists this ribosomal RNA (440 nucleotides) under uncultured bacterium. RNAcentral's name for it is "partial 16S ribosomal RNA". It matches the Rfam family "Bacterial small subunit ribosomal RNA", at positions 338 to 795 of the family's 1533-position model. The record is from RNAcentral.
CCUACGGGUGGCAGCAGUGGGGAAUAUUGCACAAUGGGGGAAACCCUGAUGCAGCGACGCCGCGUGAGUGAAGAAGUAAUUCGUUAUGUAAAGCUCUAUCAGCAGGGAAGAAAAUGACGGUACCUGACUAAGAAGCCCCGUCUAACUCCGUGCCAGCAGCCGCGGUAAUACGUAGGGGGCAAGCGUUAUCCGGAUUCACUGGGUGUAAAGGGAGCGUAGUCGGCGACGCAAGUCUGGAGUGAAAGCCCGGGGCCCAACCCCGGGACUGCUCUGGAAACUGCGGCGCUGGAGUACGGGAGGGGCAGGCGGAAUUCCUGGUGUAGCGGUGAAAUGCGUAGAUAUCAGGAGGAACACCGGCGGCGAAGGCGGCCUGCUGGACCGUGACUGACGUUGAGGCUCGAGAGCGUGGGGAGCAAACAGGAUUAGAUACCCGGGUAGUC